AGAGAGAGACAUGCGCGCAUAUCAAUAAGCGGAGGAAAAGAAACUAACAAGGAUUCCCUUAGUAACGGCGAGUGAAGCGGGAAGAGCUCAAAUUUGAAAUCUUCAAGGUUUUACCUUGACGAAUUGUAGUUUAAAGAAGUGUUUUCUGCUGAAGUUUUGGUAAAAGUUCUUUGGAAUAUGGACAUCAUAGAGGGUGAGAAUCCCGUAUUUGACCAUUAUUUUCAGCUUUGUGAUACACUUUCAAAGAGUCGGAUUGUUUGGGAAUGCAGUCCAAAAUGGGUGGUAAAUUUCAUCUAAAGCUAAAUAUUGGCGAGAGACCGAUAGCGAACAAGUACCGUGAGGGAAAGAUGAAAAGAACUUUGAAAAGAGAGUUAAACAGUACGUGAAAUUGUCAAAAGGGAAGCGUUUGACACCAGUGUUGUUUUCUCGAAAAUCAAUUAAAAAUGGCUCGAUUUUGUAUUGUUGAGACCUUAAAAGCUCACUGUACAUUUUUCGUGUCUUUUUUAAUGCACUUUUCGUUUAACAAGUCAACAUCAGUUUCUUUUGUUGUAGAAGGGUCAUUGGAAGGUGGCUUUCUUUUCGGAGAAAGUGUUUAUAGCCUUUGGCCUCUGCAAUCGGAGAGGACUGAGGUCUGCAGCGUAGACUCUUCGGGGUUAGAUACAUUUGUGCUAAGUUAUAGCUUUUUAUAGACAACUUGUUGACUAUAAUUAGUCUUGUAGCUUACUCGCUUAUGCUAUUUUACCUACGCUUAGGAUGUUGAGUCGUAGAGCACGCAG
RNAcentral lists this ribosomal RNA (776 nucleotides) under uncultured Neocallimastigales. RNAcentral's name for it is "partial large subunit ribosomal RNA". It matches the Rfam family "Eukaryotic large subunit ribosomal RNA", at positions 23 to 634 of the family's 3401-position model. Lineage: Eukaryota; Fungi; Neocallimastigomycota; Neocallimastigomycetes; Neocallimastigales. The record is from RNAcentral.